RNAcentral lists this ribosomal RNA (497 nucleotides) under uncultured bacterium. RNAcentral's name for it is "partial 16S ribosomal RNA". It matches the Rfam family "Bacterial small subunit ribosomal RNA", at positions 28 to 507 of the family's 1533-position model. The record is from RNAcentral.
GAUGAACGCUGGCGGCGUGCCUAAUACAUGCAAGUCGAGCGAACAGACGAGGAGCUUUCUCCUCUGACGUUAGCGGCGGACGGGUGAGUAACACGUGGAUAACCUACCUAUAAGACUGGGAUAACUUCGGGAAACCGGAGCUAAUACCGGAUAAUAUAUUGAACCGCAGGGUUCAAUAGUGAAAGACGGUUUUGCUGUCACUUAUAGAUGGAUCCGCGCCGCAUUAGCUAGUUGGUGAGGUAACGGCUUACCAAGGCAACGAUGCGUAGCCGACCUGAGAGGGUGAUCGGCCACACUGGAACUGAGACACGGUCCAGACUCCUACGGGAGGCAGCAGUAGGGAAUCUUCCGCAAUGGGCGAAAGCCUGACGGAGCAACGCCGCGUGAGUGAUGAAGGUCUUCGGAUCGUAAACCUCUGUUAUUAGGGAUGAACAAAUGUGUAAGUAACUAGGCACGUCUUGACGGUACCUAAUCAGAAAGCCACGGCUAACUACGUG